AUUGAACGCUGGCGGAAUGCUUUACACAUGCAAGUCGAACGGUAGAGGGGGCAACCCCUCGAGAGUGGCGAACGGGUGAGUAAUAUAUCGGAACGUGCCCAGUCGUGGGGGAUAACGUAGCGAAAGUUACGCUAAUACCGCAUACGAUCUACGGAUGAAAGCGGGGGAUCGCAAGACCUCGCGCGAUUGGAGCGGCCGAUAUCAGAUUAGGUAGUUGGUGGGGUAAAGGCUCACCAAGCCAACGAUCUGUAGCUGGUCUGAGAGGACGACCAGCCACACUGGAACUGAGACACGGUCCAGACUCCUACGGGAGGCAGCAGUGGGGAAUUUUGGACAAUGGACGCAAGUCUGAUCCAGCCAUUCCGCGUGCAGGAUGAAGGCCCUCGGGUUGUAAACUGCUUUGUACGGACGAAAAGGUCUCUCUUAAUACGAGGGCUCAUGACGGUACCGUAAGGAAUAAGCACCGGCUAACUACGUGCCAGCAGCCG
RNAcentral lists this ribosomal RNA (488 nucleotides) under uncultured bacterium. RNAcentral's name for it is "bacterial SSU rRNA". It matches the Rfam family "Bacterial small subunit ribosomal RNA", at positions 30 to 517 of the family's 1533-position model. The record is from RNAcentral.